GUGGGGAAUAUUGGACAAUGGGGGGAACCCUGAUCCAGCCAUGCCGCGUGUGUGAAGAAGGUCUUCGGAUUGUAAAGCACUUUAAGUUGGGAGGAAGGGCAGUAAGUUAAUACCUUGCUGUUUUGACGUUACCGACAGAAUAAGCACCGGCUAACUUCGUGCCAGCAGCCGCGGUAAUACGAAGGGUGCAAGCGUUAAUCGGAAUUACUGGGCGUAAAGCGCGUGUAGGCUGACAUGCAAGUCGGGUGUGAAAUCCCAGGGCUCAACCUUGGAACUGCACUCGAAACUGCAAGUCUUGAGUACUGGAGAGGGAAGCGGAAUUCCGGGUGUAGAGGUGAAAUUCGUAGAUAUCCGGAGGAACACCAGUGGCGAAGGCGGCUUCCUGGACAGUAACUGACGCUGAGACGCGAAAGCGUGGGGAGCAAACAGGAUUAGAAACCCUGGUAGUCC
Molecule: ribosomal RNA, 450 nt
Filed under: uncultured bacterium
Lineage: Bacteria
Description: partial 16S ribosomal RNA
Rfam family: Bacterial small subunit ribosomal RNA
Source: RNAcentral